This 679-nucleotide ribosomal RNA is filed under the name uncultured bacterium. Its description in RNAcentral is "bacterial SSU rRNA". It matches the Rfam family "Bacterial small subunit ribosomal RNA", at positions 709 to 1388 of the family's 1533-position model. The record is from RNAcentral.
CCAGUGGCGAAAGCGGCUCUCUGGUCUGUCACUGACGCUGAGGCUCGAAAGCGUGGGUAGCGAACAGGAUUAGAUACCCUGGUAGUNCACGCCGUAAACGAUGAGUGCUAGGUGUUAGGCCCUUUCCGGGGCUUAGUGCCGGAGCUAACGCAAUAAGCACUCCGCCUGGGGAGUACGACCGCAAGGUUGAAACUCAAAGGAAUUGACGGGGGCCCGCACAAGCGGUGGAGCAUGUGGUUUAAUUCGAAGCAACGCGAAGAACCUUACCAGGUCUUGACAUCCUGAUGCUAUUCUUAGAGAUAGGAAGUUACUUCGGUACAUCGGAGACAGGUGGUGCAUGGUUGUCGUCAGCUCGUGUCGUGAGAUGUUGGGUUAAGUCCCGCAACGAGCGCAACCCUUAUUGUUAGUUGCCAUCAUUAAGUUGGGCACUCUAGCGAGACUGCCGGUAAUAAACCGGAGGAAGGUGGGGAUGACGUCAAAUCAUCAUGCCCCUUAUGACCUGGGCUACACACGUGCUACAAUGGUCGGUACAACGAGUUGCGAGCCGGUGACGGCAAGCUAAUCUCUGAAAGCCGAUCUCAGUUCGGAUUGGAGGCUGCAACUCGCCUCCAUGAAGUCGGAAUCGCUAGUAAUCGCGGAUCAGCACGCCGCGGUGAAUACGUUCCCGGGCCUUGUACAC